GGUUAUGGCUCAGUGAUAGAGAGCUCACCUCACACGUGCAAGGCCCUGGGUUCGAUCCUCAGCACCA
This 67-nucleotide transfer RNA is filed under the name Marmota monax (woodchuck). Its description in RNAcentral is "tRNA.Val". Lineage: Eukaryota; Metazoa; Chordata; Mammalia; Rodentia; Sciuridae. The record is from RNAcentral.